CUUUCAAGUAGUAAAGAAACAGGAAGUCUGUAAACAGUGGACAGGACAGAGGUGGAGAAGCAGGGUUGAGUAGACUGUUAUAGGGGGAUGAGUUGGGGGAUAAGUAACAGUUUGAGGGCAGAGGUGGAGAAGCAGGGUUGAGUAGACUGUUAAAGGGGGAUGAUUGGGGGAUAAGUAACAGUUUGAGGACAGAGGUGGAGCAGCAGGGUUGAGUAGACUGUUAAAGGGGGAUGAGUAGGGGAUAAGUAACAGUUUGAGGACAGAGGUGGAGCAGCAGGGUUGAGUAGACUGUUAAAGGCGGGGUUUUUAAUGUGGGGACAGACACAGGUCAGAGAUAUCCAGCUUGAGGAGGGCGGCUGGGGUGCUUCAGGUGCCUCAAGACUAACCAGUUUUCAGGAUGGAAAUGGACAGAGAACGGUCAUCAGUAUGUGCAGUUUUUAAAGGUUCCACACACACACACACACACACACUACACACACACACACACACACACACACACACUAUAUACACACACACACACACACACACUAUAUACACACACACACACAUACGCAGGCUUUGGCAACAACCGUGGACGAGACGGUCAGAAGAGUCACAGGUAAUAAGCAGGUCCAGACUCACGGCCAGUACACACCUGCUCCCUGGCAUUCCACCCAGAAAUAAACUCCUUUCUAAAAGGUGAGUAAGAUAUAUUACUGCAGUAAUGCGUCAUUACUGACGCAUUACUUCGUACCUGGAGCCCUUAGUCUUAAUGAAAGGCUGUUAAAGUUUAUAAAGUUUAUAUUUGGUUUGAUAAAAAUUAUACAGCCCUGUUUUUUUUUUUAACACAUGUAUUAGUGACACAGUGAAAGGCCUUGCAUACCCACACAGAUUGCAGGUACGGUGCAAAAUGAACGAAAGAUCAGCCCGAUGCAGAGCCUUAUACCUUACACCCAUCACAGACAAAUAAAUCAAGCAUUUCAAAACGUGCUCGCUCAUUAUUUUCCUUAAAAAAGUGCUUCCCAAACAUCUGAAAUAAAGCAUCAGCCAUGAGAGCAACUGAACAACCCUGUACUACCUGACCUUCCGAAUCAAGCCAAAUCGCUAUUUUACACUCAAUUAUUAUUAUUAUUA
Long non-coding RNA from Anguilla rostrata (American eel), 1113 nucleotides. RefSeq lists it as uncharacterized. The transcript is spliced from 3 exons. Lineage: Eukaryota; Metazoa; Chordata; Actinopteri; Anguilliformes; Anguillidae. The record is from RefSeq and is a predicted model, not a curated record.